RNAcentral lists this ribosomal RNA (576 nucleotides) under Meyerozyma caribbica. RNAcentral's name for it is "eukaryotic LSU rRNA". It matches the Rfam family "Eukaryotic large subunit ribosomal RNA", at positions 59 to 651 of the family's 3401-position model. The record is from RNAcentral. Lineage: Eukaryota; Fungi; Ascomycota; Pichiomycetes; Serinales; Debaryomycetaceae.
AAGAAACCAACAGGGAUUGCCUUAGUAGCGGCGAGUGAAGCGGCAAAAGCUCAAAUUUGAAAUCUGGCACCUUCGGUGUCCGAGUUGUAAUUUGAAGAUUGUAACCUUGGGGUUGGCUCUUGUCUAUGUUUCUUGGAACAGGACGUCACAGAGGGUGAGAAUCCCGUGCGAUGAGAUGCCCAAUCCUAUGUAAGGUGCUUUCGAAGAGUCGAGUUGUUUGGGAAUGCAGCUCUAAGUGGGUGGUAAAUUCCAUCUAAAGCUAAAUAUUGGCGAGAGACCGAUAGCGAACAAGUACAGUGAUGGAAAGAUGAAAAGAACUUUGAAAAGAGAGUGAAAAAGUACGUGAAAUUGUUGAAAGGGAAGGGUUUGAGAUCAGACUCGAUAUUUUGUGAGCCUUGCCUUCGUGGCGGGGUGACCCGCAGCUUAUCGGGCCAGCAUCGGUUUGGGCGGUAGGAUAAUGGCGUAGGAAUGUGACUUUGCUUCGGUGAAGUGUUAUAGCCUGCGUUGAUGCUGCCUGCCUAGACCGAGGACUGCGAUUUUAUCAAGGAUGCUGGCAUAAUGAUCCCAAACCGCCCG